GUGCAUGGAAUAAUGGAACAGGACCUUGGUUCUAUUUUGUUGGUUUCCGGAAUCCAAGGUAAUGAUCAAUAAGGACAGGCGGGGGCAUUCGUAUUGCGACGUUAGAGGUGAAAUUCUUGGAUCGUCGCAAGACGCACUAAAGCGAAAGCAUUUGCCAAGUAUGUCUUAAUUGAUCAAGAACGAAAGUUAGAGUUUCGAAGGCGAUCAGAUACCGCCCUAGUUCUAACCAUAAACGAUGCCAGCCAGCGAUCCGCCGACGUUCCUCCGAUG
This 270-nucleotide ribosomal RNA is filed under the name Salmonella enterica subsp. enterica serovar 1,4,[5],12:i:-. RNAcentral's name for it is "partial 16S ribosomal RNA". It matches the Rfam family "Eukaryotic small subunit ribosomal RNA", at positions 805 to 1073 of the family's 1831-position model. Lineage: Bacteria; Pseudomonadati; Pseudomonadota; Gammaproteobacteria; Enterobacterales; Enterobacteriaceae. The record is from RNAcentral.